GAUGAACGCUGGCGGCGUGCCUAAUACAUGCAAGUCGAGCGAACAGACGAGGAGCUUGCUCCUCUGACGUUAGCGGCGGACGGGUGAGUAACACGUGGAUAACCUACCUAUAAGACUGGGAUAAAUUCGGGAAACCGGAGCUAAUACCGGAUAAUAUUUUGAACCGCAUGGUUCAAUAGUGAAAGACGGUUUUGCUGUCACUUAUAGAUGGAUCCGCGCUGCAUUAGCUAGUUGGUAAGGUAACGGCUUACCAAGGCGACGAUGCGUAGCCGACCUGAGAGGGUGAUCGGCCACACUGGAACUGAGACACGGUCCAGACUCCUACGGGAGGCAGCAGUAGGGAAUCUUCCGCAAUGGGCGAAAGCCUGACGGAGCAACGCCGCGUGAGUGAUGAAGGUCUUCGGAUCGUAAAACUCUGUUAUUAGGGAAGAACAAAUGUGUAAGUAACUAUGCACGUCUUGACGGUACCUAAUCAGAAAGCCACGGCUAACUACGUG
This 497-nucleotide ribosomal RNA is filed under the name uncultured bacterium. RNAcentral describes it as "partial 16S ribosomal RNA". It matches the Rfam family "Bacterial small subunit ribosomal RNA", at positions 28 to 507 of the family's 1533-position model. The record is from RNAcentral.